Molecule: ribosomal RNA, 254 nt
Filed under: uncultured bacterium
Lineage: Bacteria
Description: partial 16S ribosomal RNA
Rfam family: Bacterial small subunit ribosomal RNA
Source: RNAcentral
CACGUAGGGGGCGAGCGUUGUCCGGAUUUAUUGGGCGUAAAGAGCUCGUAGGCGGUUCGAUAAGUCGGGUGUGAAAACUCUGGGCUCAACUCAGAGACGCCACCCGAUACUGUUGUGACUUGAGUCCGGUAGGGGAGUAUGGAAUUCCCGGUGUAGCGGUGAAAUGCGCAGAUAUCGGGAGGAACACCAGUGGCGAAGGCGGUACUCUGGGCCGGAACUGACGCUGAGACGCGAAAGCGUGGGGAGCAAACAGG